CGUAACGCGUAUGCAACCUACCUUAAUCUGGGGGAUAGCCCGAAGAAAUUCGGAUUAACACCGCAUAACAUUAUUGAAUAGCAUUAUUUAAUAAUCAAAUAUUUAUAGGAUUAAGAUGGGCAUGCGUGUCAUUAGCUAGUUGGCGGGGUAACGGCCCACCAAGGCGACGAUGACUAGGGGAUCUGAGAGGAUGACCCCCCACACUGGUACUGAGACACGGACCAGACUCCUACGGGAGGCAGCAGUAAGGAAUAUUGGUCAAUGGAGGCAACUCUGAACCAGCCAUGCCGCGUGCAGGAAGACAGCCCUCUGGGUCGUAAACUGCUUUUAUUCGGGAAUAAACCUAUCUACGUGUAGAUAGCUGAAUGUACCGAAGGAAUAAGGAUCGGCUAACUCCGUGCC
Molecule: ribosomal RNA, 402 nt
Filed under: Pedobacter sp. R9.65
Lineage: Bacteria; Pseudomonadati; Bacteroidota; Sphingobacteriia; Sphingobacteriales; Sphingobacteriaceae
Description: bacterial SSU rRNA
Rfam family: Bacterial small subunit ribosomal RNA
Source: RNAcentral